This 468-nucleotide ribosomal RNA is filed under the name uncultured bacterium. RNAcentral describes it as "partial 16S ribosomal RNA". It matches the Rfam family "Bacterial small subunit ribosomal RNA", at positions 28 to 507 of the family's 1533-position model. The record is from RNAcentral.
GACGAACGCUGGCGGCGUGCUUAACACAUGCAAGUCGAACGGAAAGGCCCUGCUUUUGUGGGGUGCUCGAGUGGCGAACGGGUGAGUAACACGUGAGUAACCUGCCCUUGACUUUGGGAUAACUUCAGGAAACUGGGGCUAAUACCGGAUAGGAGCUCCUGCUGCAUGGGGGGGGUUGGAAAGUUUCGGCGGUUGGGGAUGGACUCGCGGCUUAUCAGCUUGUUGGUGGGGUAGUGGCUUACCAAGGCUUUGACGGGUAGCCGGCCUGAGAGGGUGACCGGCCACAUUGGGACUGAGAUACGGCCCAGACUCCUACGGGAGGCAGAAGUGGGGAAUAUUGCACAAUGGGCGGAAGCCUGAUGCAGCAACGCCGCGUGCGGGAUGACGGCCUUCGGGUUGUAACCCGCUUUCGCCUGUGACGAAGCGUGAGUGACGGUAAUGGGUAAAGAAGCACCGGCUAACUACGUG